GUUUAUGGUCAUAUCACCCAGAACAUCUCAAUCUCAUAUGAUCUCAGAAGCUAAGCAGGAUUGAGCCUGAUUAGUACUUGGAUGGGAGAGAGAAUGAAUUUGUACAUA
RNAcentral lists this ribosomal RNA (108 nucleotides) under Octodon degus (degu). The record is from RNAcentral. Lineage: Eukaryota; Metazoa; Chordata; Mammalia; Rodentia; Octodontidae.